GGCCAAGUAGGAUGUGUUGUCACUGGCGCUUUUAUAAAUCUUGCCCACAGGAAUGCAGCUGAACAGAAGACUGGAAACAGAGCUGCAUACUGUUGAGGAUGAGAAGAAAUGGUUUGACUGAAAAUCUACAAAGCACUGCAGAACAAAAAUAAAGGUACCACCGAUCUCCACCGAGGCUAUUCCUGGAGCCGUGUGACACUGAUGAUGUUGACAGCAAUCACCUUCCCACAUCACAGCCACCGCAAAGAUCACGUACGCGGCCCACAGUUCCCACACCACACCUCUUUAUUGGCCCAAGACAACGUGAGGAUGAAGGUGUCCAGAUGACCAGACACUAAAUGCGGAUGAGAAGGUGGUUGGUAUUCCUGCCAAAUGCGUAUGCUCUGUUUGGCUCGUGGGUUCCUUCAUUCUGUCCAUUUGGCAGGUGCACACAUACACCCAGAAGAACCAGAAUAUGACAGGAUCCCUAUUCAAACGCACAGCUCAAUCUCCUGUUCCUGUCAUGUGUAGCUGCCUUCGGGAAGUCCUGUCAGCGCUUACCAUUUGGCCUUGAACCUGGGCUAAACUAUUGAAUUCAUCAUGCAUAAAAC
Amphiprion ocellaris (clown anemonefish) is the source of this 590-nucleotide long non-coding RNA. RefSeq lists it as uncharacterized. The transcript has 4 exons. Lineage: Eukaryota; Metazoa; Chordata; Actinopteri; Pomacentridae. The record is from RefSeq and is a predicted model, not a curated record.